This 737-nucleotide ribosomal RNA is filed under the name Melampsora sp. Mel A. RNAcentral describes it as "eukaryotic LSU rRNA". It matches the Rfam family "Eukaryotic large subunit ribosomal RNA", at positions 192 to 917 of the family's 3401-position model. Lineage: Eukaryota; Fungi; Basidiomycota; Pucciniomycetes; Pucciniales; Melampsoraceae. The record is from RNAcentral.
GAAAAGCAGCAUCAUUGAAGGUGAAAAUCCUGUAGAUGAUAUGGACUACCAGUAUAUUUGUGAUACGGUUUCUAAGAGUCGAGUUGUUUGGGAAUGCAGCUCAAAGUGGGUGGUAAAUUCCAUCUAAGGCUAAAUAUAAGUGAGAGACCGAUAGCAAACAAGUACCGUGAGGGAAAGAUGAAAAGAACUUUGAAAAUAGAGUUAACAGUACGUGAAAUUGCUGAAAGGGAAACGUUUGAAGUUAGUUUUGUAUUCGUUGGAUCAGCUUCGCAAGGAGUGUAUUCUGAUGAUAAGCAAGUCAACAUCAGUCUAUGAGUGUUGGAUAAGGGUUUUGAGAAUGUAGCAAUUUAAUUGUGUUAUAGCUUGAGACUUGGAUACGAUGCUUUGGAUUGAGGAACGCGUAGUAAGCUUUGAGCGGAUUCGAAAGGAUCUCCUUACUAUGGAUGUUGGUGAAAUAACUUUAAGCGACCCGUCUUGAAACACGGACCAAGGAGUCUAACAUGCUUGCGAGUAUUAGGGUGUUGAAACCCGAAUGCGUAAUGAAAGUGAAUCUAAGAUGUGAUCCGCAAGGUGCAACAUCGGCCAGUCUGGAUCAUUUAUGUGAAGGUACUGAGCAAGAGCAAGUAUGUUAGGACCCGAAAGAUGGUGAACUAUGCCUGGAUAGGGUGAAGUCAGAGGAAACUCUGAUGGAAGCUCGUAGCGGUUCUGACGUGCAAAUCGAUCGUAGAAUCUGGGUA